This is a long non-coding RNA of Carassius gibelio (silver crucian carp), 1382 nucleotides long. RefSeq lists it as uncharacterized. The transcript has 7 exons. The record is from RefSeq and is a predicted model, not a curated record. Lineage: Eukaryota; Metazoa; Chordata; Actinopteri; Cypriniformes; Cyprinidae.
UUGCGUGCAUAUGAUACGCCAAUCCUUCCCAUUAAUUUCGGUGGAGAGCAGAUGCGUCCGAAUAACACGCAUCAUCUUCAGCGGCAGUGACGUCACUAGCGAGGCUCGUUCAGUUCACCUGAUGCGCGUACACCUUCAAACAGUUACGUCGGAUUACAUACUCCACAACAACCUGUAAUCCAGCAGAUCUUUAAAGAAGCCAUCUCUUGUAAAAUCUCUCUCUCUCUCUCUCUCUCUCUCUCUCUCUCUCUCUCUCUCUCUCUCUCUCUCGCUCUGCUAGAAUUAACAGGGAACUUCAACUCCACGCUCCCAAUGCUGAUAUUGAAGAAGCUGUCAAGGGGGCUGAACAAGUCCUUCAAAGGAUCAACCCUUCACAGGAAGGCCUGUCAUGAGAUUUGAAUUUGACCAUCUUGUGCAUUUAUGAAGAAGACCAAAAGCUGCGAAGGCAAACACUUCCAAUGCUGAAGACCAGAAACGCAAAGAAAAUCAGUCAAACCAGUCCUAAAGAAAUGAGGAAUGAACAUGGACUUCUUGUGCCCCAAAAGAAAAGACAGAAAGCUCCUAAAAUGAGCAAAUAAGCUGUGCAUCAUCUCUGUGAUUUGGGAAGGAAAUGACUGAAUAUGAUGAAGCCAAUUGAUGAAGAUAUCAAUUGAAUGGCCACCGAGUGCAUCACUGCUACCUGAACCCAUCAGUUAUCUUCUGUGAAGACUGCAUUCACAAACCGCUCUACUGCGACAGCUCAGAUGUUACGGCCUGUAAAAGUAAACAUCACAGCUAAACAACGAGAGCUAGUUGUGGUGGGAUUCUUUUGGCCAAUAUCCCCAACAAGAAUCAAUGACAUCUAGACCAGGUGGAGUGUGAGGAGGACCGUCAGAGACUCCAGCCAGCCGAGCCAUGGAUUGCUCUCACUGUUACCAUCAGGCAGACGUUAUCACAGAACCUACACCAGCAGACAGUGAGACAAGUUCCUUUCAUAGGCAAUCAGACUGAACUGAACUCAUACCAGUAAAACCAUACACACCCCACCAACCUCAUAUGCCCUGCACUCUUAUCAGUUAUGCUGACUGGACUCAAUAUUAUUAUGCACCCUGACAUUCUGUUUGCACUAAUUCAUACCGUGCUUUACUGCAGAGAUGUAUGUGUACUGUGAUUAUUAUUGUUUUCAAUUCAUGCUCUUUGUAUAGCAUAAUUUUUAACAUAUAUUGUUAUCUACCUGAAUUGAGUCCCUUAUAUAUGUGUGUUGCAUAUAUAUAUAUAUAUAUAUUCAGAAUUUGUAUUUCAUAUAUAUUCAUGAAUUAAUUCAUUUGUCAUCCAUACUGUCACGCUGCAGUCUGCACCCAAGACUUUCAUCACCUGUAUACUUGUGUUCAUUGUAUUUUGAC